This 45-nucleotide non-coding RNA is filed under the name Schistosoma mansoni. The record is from RNAcentral. Lineage: Eukaryota; Metazoa; Platyhelminthes; Trematoda; Strigeidida; Schistosomatidae.
AUUCAGCAACCGAGUCUCAAAUAGGACGAAACGCGCAUCCUGAAU